GUACUGAUGACGAGUCCCAAAUUGGGACGAAACAGCUGUCCAGUAC
RNAcentral lists this non-coding RNA (46 nucleotides) under Trichobilharzia regenti. The record is from RNAcentral. Lineage: Eukaryota; Metazoa; Platyhelminthes; Trematoda; Strigeidida; Schistosomatidae.